RNAcentral lists this long non-coding RNA (1154 nucleotides) under Daphnia magna. RNAcentral's name for it is "uncharacterized LOC116935561". Lineage: Eukaryota; Metazoa; Arthropoda; Branchiopoda; Diplostraca; Daphniidae. The record is from RNAcentral.
CCUUCUCUCCACAUGUACGUCUCGACCUCUAUUUCUGUCUCACUGCUGUCGCUGUACUCAGACUAUCAUACUCAGUGUCCAUAAUCUGUCUUGUUGUAGUUUUGGAGGGAUGUAGUGUUCUGGGCUGUCGCCAGGUGGCAGUCAAGGACUGAGAGGAGAGACCUGUGGUGUGUGUCGGGCUGGCGCAGUGAGGAACGAGGCCAAGGACAGUGAGGUUGUCUUACAUAGCUGUUGAAAUACACAGAAGUUCAUCCAGUAACAUCGUGGCUGAAGCUGAAUACGACGCUGCGGUUUUGGAUUCGGCCACUUCUUCGUAUUGAAUAUCAGCGACAUACCCAUUCUCAUCUGCCCUGUAAUUGACGACCUGGACACGACCAUCUGGGAGAGGGACACGAUAGUAACCGGGGGUCACCUUGCCGUGACGGCUUUCAGAUCGAGAGUUGCUGUUAUUGGAAGACCGGAAGCUGUAGACUGGUUUCUUGGCCUAAUUAAGAACGUUUGAAAUUAAUUAAUCAAAAUGAAAUCUUUUACUAGCUAAGAACCAGAUCGUUGGAUAAACAUGUAACUCACAUCUUCUCUAUUUUUGUAAACUGAAAUUUGAUCGGCACUUCCAGCUGACGUGGUGAUUAGCAAUAGGAAGCAAAUCCAACACUGCAAUUGUUUCUGCAAAAAUGAUGACAUUAAUUUGUGGACGAACAUCCAUCAUUAAAGCAUGAAUUGUGUCGGAAUUUUUUACCUUCAUAUCAAGAGUUUGUCACAGGUCUCUGAAAGUUAAAACACUGAUAUUAAUGAUUGUGUUCUUGGAGCUUUUAUAGACUGCCGAACUAUGAAAUCCGCAGCAUGCGGGCAAGCUCUCCUUGUUGGAGAAGUGAAGUGACACUGAUGGGGAACGUACGCGACUAAAGAAAAUCGGAAUGAUGGACUACAACUGAAAAAAGUGAAAGGCAAAUUCAUGCAGAUCAACGUGUAAACCUCGAAAAGGGACGCUUGAAAGUUUCUUCUGCUGAUAUUUGCACAGUAUUUGACUCCCUCAAAUGUUGGGUUUAAAAAAAGGGGGGAGGGGAUUGCCUCUGGCAAGGAAUACUUGCAUCCGACCAUGUACUGACGGUUACUUUCCAUUCACUAAGACAAUAUAUAUGACAUUGAAAAUGCAA